AUGGCUUGGACCCCACUCCUCUUCCUCACCCUCCUCCUCCACUGCACAGGGUCUCUCUCCCAGCUUGUGCUGACUCAAUCGCCCUCUGCCUCUGCCUCCCUGGGAGCCUCGGUCAAGCUCACCUGCACUCUGAGCAGUGGGCACAGCAGCUACGCCAUCGCAUGGCAUCAGCAGCAGCCAGAGAAGGGCCCUCGGUACUUGAUGAAGCUUAACAGUGAUGGCAGCCACAGCAAGGGGGACGGGAUCCCUGAUCGCUUCUCAGGCUCCAGCUCUGGGGCUGAGCGCUACCUCACCAUCUCCAGCCUCCAGUCUGAGGAUGAGGCUGACUAUUACUGUCAGACCUGGGGCACUGGCAUUCA
Molecule: non-coding RNA, 359 nt
Organism: Homo sapiens (human)
Lineage: Eukaryota; Metazoa; Chordata; Mammalia; Primates; Hominidae
Source: the annotation of a RefSeq genome assembly